RNAcentral lists this ribosomal RNA (468 nucleotides) under uncultured bacterium. Its description in RNAcentral is "partial 16S ribosomal RNA". It matches the Rfam family "Bacterial small subunit ribosomal RNA", at positions 28 to 507 of the family's 1533-position model. The record is from RNAcentral.
GACGAACGCUGGCGGCGUGCUUAACGCAUGCAAGUCGAACGGAAAGGCCCUGCUUUUGUGGGGUGCUCGAGUGGCGAACGGGUGAGUAACACGUGAGUAACCUGCCCUUGACUUUGGGAUAACUUCAGGAAACUGGGGCUAAUACCGGAUAGGAGCUCCUGCUGCAUGGUGGGGGUUGGAAAGUUUCGGCGGUUGGGGAUGGACUCGCGGCUUAUCAGCUUGUUGGUGGGGUAGUGGCUUACCAAGGCUUUGACGGGUAGCCGGCCUGAGAGGGUGAACGGCCACAUUGGGACUGAGAUACGGCCCAGACUCCUACGGGAGGCAGCAGUGGGGAAUAUUGCACAAUGGGCGGAAGCCUGAUGCAGCAACGCCGCGUGCGGGAUGACGGCCUUCGGGUUGUAAACCGCUUUCGCCUGUGACGAAGCGUGAGUGACGGUAAUGGGUAAAGAAGCACCGGCUAACUACGUG